AUGUCCUCCUCCUCCACAGUCACCUCCUCUGGCCUCAACUACAACACAUCAGAACCCCUUAGCCGGACGAACUAUAUUCUCUGGCGAGCCCAAGCACGAUCCCGGAUAUUUUGCGCCGGCUUGUUUGGCUAUAUAGACUAGACUAUAGAGGAGCCUCCAAAAACAAUCAUUAGCAAAGAUAAAGAUGGCAAGGAUCAGGUAGUUUCCAACCCGUCUCAUAAUGCCUGGCUAGUUCAAGAUCAG
This 243-nucleotide ribosomal RNA is filed under the name Triticum aestivum (bread wheat). Its description in RNAcentral is "partial small subunit ribosomal RNA". The record is from RNAcentral. Lineage: Eukaryota; Viridiplantae; Streptophyta; Magnoliopsida; Poales; Poaceae.